CGCACCUUGCGCCCUUUGGUAUUCCGAAGGGCACGCCUGUUUGAGUGUCAUGUUCAUCUCAAUCCAUCUGCUUUGUUGCUGCUUGGAUUGGAUUUGGGAGCCUGCUGGCCUGCAAAGGUCGGCUCUCCUUGAAUGCAUGAGUGAGCAUCUGGCUCGCGUUGCUAGUGUGAUAGUUAUUCAUCAUUGGCGGCGCUUGCCUAAAGAGCUUGCUUUCGAACCGUCUUCUCAACGGAGACAAACUAUACUUGACCAUUUUGACCUCAAAUCAGGUGGGACUACCCGCUGAACUUAA
RNAcentral lists this unclassified non-coding RNA (292 nucleotides) under Hymenochaete sp. Its description in RNAcentral is "partial contains 5.8S ribosomal RNA, internal transcribed spacer 2, and large subunit ribosomal RNA". Lineage: Eukaryota; Fungi; Basidiomycota; Agaricomycetes; Hymenochaetales; Hymenochaetaceae. The record is from RNAcentral.